This is a non-coding RNA of Meleagris gallopavo (turkey), 208 nucleotides long. The record is from RefSeq and is a predicted model, not a curated record. Lineage: Eukaryota; Metazoa; Chordata; Aves; Galliformes; Phasianidae.
CAGAAAUUGCCAACUGGGAAGAGGCACUCAGCAGCAUCUGAUUCAUGAUGAUGUAGUCUUAAUACAGCACUUUGUGGAAAGUCUUUCAGAUCAUGAAGAAUCAAUCUUCUUAUUCCUUUGCUGAGGUACCAGAUGUGUCAGGAAGAGGAGUUGGAAAACUUCACAUGUGAAUGCUGAAACCCAUCAAGAAUAGCCAACUUCUUCAGGA